CCUACGGGAGGCAGCAGUAGGGAAUAUUGCUCAAUGGGGGAAACCCUGAAGCAGCAACGCCGCGUGGAGGAUGAAGGUUUUCGGAUUGUAAACUCCUUUUGUUAGAGAAGAUAAUGACGGUAUCUAACGAAUAAGCACCGGCUAACCCCGUGCCAGCAGCCGCGGUAAUACGGAGGGUGCAAGCGUUACUCGGAAUCACUGGGCGUAAAGAGCGCGUAGGCGGGAUAGCAAGUCAGAUGUGAAAUCCUAUGGCUUAACCAUAGAACUGCAUUUGAAACUGUUAUUCUAGAGUAUGGGAGAGGUAGGUGGAAUUCUUGGUGUAGCGGUGAAAUGCGUAGAGAUCAAGAGGAAUACUCAUGGCGAAGGCGACCUGCUAGAACAUAACUGACGCUGAUGCGCGAAAGCGUGGGGAGCAAACAGGAUUAGAUACCCCUGUAGUC
Molecule: ribosomal RNA, 440 nt
Filed under: uncultured bacterium
Lineage: Bacteria
Description: partial 16S ribosomal RNA
Rfam family: Bacterial small subunit ribosomal RNA
Source: RNAcentral